Myotis davidii is the source of this 138-nucleotide long non-coding RNA. RefSeq lists it as uncharacterized. The transcript is spliced from 3 exons. The record is from RefSeq and is a predicted model, not a curated record. NCBI's taxonomy places the organism in Eukaryota, Metazoa, Chordata, Mammalia, Chiroptera, Vespertilionidae.
GCAGCAGCGGCAGGAGGGCCACGUUCUGGCUGCUGGCACUACGCGCGGAAGACCAUGUCCGGGGGCAGCAGCUGCAGCCAGACCCCGAGCCGGGCCAUCCCCGCCACUCACCGGGUCGUCCUCAGCGACAGCGUGCAG